GAUGAAGAACGUAGCGAAAUGCGAUAAGUAGUGUGAAUUGCAGAAUUCAGUGAAUCAUCGAAUCUUUGAACGCACAUUGCGCCCCUUGGUAUUCCAUGGGGCAUGCCUGUUCGAGCGUCAUCUACAACCCUCAAGCCCUGCUUGGUGUUGGGCGUCUGUCCCGCCCCCGCGCGCGGACUCGCCCCAAAUCCAUUGGCGGCGGCCCUUGCCUCCCUCUCGCGCAGCACAUUGCGCUUCUCGAGGCGUCGCGGGCCGCGCUCCACGAAGCACGCAAACCAGUCUUUGACCUCGGAUCAGGUAGGGAUACCCGCUGAACUUAAGCAUAUCAUAAGCGGAGGA
This 339-nucleotide unclassified non-coding RNA is filed under the name soil metagenome. RNAcentral describes it as "partial contains 5.8S ribosomal RNA, internal transcribed spacer 2, and large subunit ribosomal RNA". The stretch from base 1 to 120 matches the Rfam family "5.8S ribosomal RNA", at positions 35 to 154 of the family's 154-position model. The record is from RNAcentral.